UGGGGAAUAUUGGACAAUGGGCGAAAGCCUGAUCCAGCCAUGCCGCGUGUGUGAAGAAGGUCUUAGGAUUGUAAAGCACUUUAAGUUGGGAGGAAGGGCAGUAAGCGAAUACCUUGCUGUUUUGACGUUACCGACAGAAUAAGCACCGGCUAACUCUGUGCCAGCAGCCGCGGUAAUAAAGAGGGUGCAAGCGUUAAUCGGAAUUACUGGGCGUAAAGCGCGCGUAGGUGGUUCGUUAAGUUGAAUGUGAAAGCCCCGGGCUCAACCUGGGAACUGCAUCCAAAACUGGCGAGCUAGAGUAGGGCAGAGGGUGGUGGAAUUUCCUGUGUAGCGGUGAAAUGCGUAGAUAUAGGAAGGAACACCAGUGGCGAAGGCGACCCCCUGGGCUCAUACUGACACUGAGGUGCGAAAGCGUGGGUAGCAAACAGG
Molecule: ribosomal RNA, 429 nt
Filed under: Pseudomonadota bacterium
Lineage: Bacteria; Pseudomonadati; Pseudomonadota
Description: Proteobacteria bacterium partial 16S ribosomal RNA
Rfam family: Bacterial small subunit ribosomal RNA
Source: RNAcentral